UGUGCUUUUAGGUUUUAUGUUUCCACUUAUAAACUUUGUUUUUAUUUACUUGAUCAACUUGUAUCAACUGUAUCGUUACUAUAUAACCUGGGUUGCAGCGGGUUAGUGUCAUAUCAGAGUACGGAGACCUUGAAAGUGUGUCUGAUUUGAGUCAUUCCUCAUUCCUUGGAAGUGAGGAUCAUUGUCAACUGAUAACAACUCAAAGUUGGGCUUUUGACUGGCCGUGACUGCUCUUCUGUGAGUUACCGAGUCCUAAUUUGUAGAAUGUGACAGAGAUUGUCUGUAUAAUCUCCUCACUUGGAAGAUUGUCAACACAUUCUAGGGAUGGGCGAUAUGGCCAAAAGAAAUUAUGACGAUAAAUGUUGUAAUUGCAUCAUUAUAAUAAUGCAGUUUAAUUCUCUUCCAUGUGUUGGACACUACAGUCGCUCUUGAAACUGUUUUAUGAUGAAACUUAUUAGUGGAGCUUGUCUCACACAUCGUUAUUUGUUUGUUUCAAUUUAAUAGUUAUGUGUAGAGAUAACAAAUUUAAUAGCAUGAUCAUUUACAAUGAUCAUUUAUUUAGUCAUAUUCUCCAAAUCAUGAUACAAACUGUCUCAGUCCUUUGUUUUGUGUGAUAAAAAACCUUUUCACAAUUCUCUCUCCUAAAAUGUUUGUUUUCAUUUUCCUUAUUGAAUAUUUCACUAAUACUUUUGACGCCUUAGAAUUUGUUGAUGGUCCCUAACUGUUGAUGGUCCUAAACAGAGUCGACCAGUGUCAUUAUCAAAGGUUCCCAGGAUUAAAAAUCUGUUUCAAACUACGAUGGUCAACCAAAGUCCACCACACUCUCAGGUGGACAACUGUCACACGCCGCGGAGCUGUUCAUGUAUGCUGGUCCAAUGCAGCCAGUGAGCCGCGUGUUAAGCAAGUUUAUCGUGAGUUGCAGAAUUGUCAUCGUGCAGAUUGUGUUUGGCGAGAUAUCGUGCACGAUAAGUUAUUGCCCAUCCCUAACAAGUUCAUAAUCCCAAUGUCGUACCACCCAAGUCAGCACACCACAGUCAUGGAUCUAUUCAGUAAAUGUAAAAAAAAAUAUAUUUCUUUAUGUCAUGAUCUUAUGAUCGUAAGUUCGAGGUUCUCUGCUUGCUUGAGAGAUGAGGAAGAGUGUCACUAUUGGUCAGGUAAAAAUCUGUAAAAGUUUCAUUGUGGCUGGUGCCUGGUGAUGUCAUGUUUAAAUAAUUAGAUGACUGCAAUUACUCCUGUUAGAGUCAUUCUGUGUGUGUGUGCAUGGUGGAUGAGUGGUGUGACUUCUCGUAUGCGACGUGACGUGACGUGUGUGUGUGUGUGCACGGUGGAUGAGUGGUGUGACUUCUCGUAUACGACGUGACGUGACGUGUGUGCGUGCGGACGUUGGAAAGUGCAACGGAAGCGUGAGGAGCAUACUAGUUUUUGUCCUUGCUACUGUUAUUUUUGUUUGGAAUACUGCAGUUGUUUUUGUUGUCACCAAGUGAGGGAUUUAAUAAAUCGUAUCAAGGGUAGUGACUGUGGAUAUUUUCGCAUCUCGGAAGACAUGCGUCAGCUACACGCUCAUCCAGAGAAAGAACUCGACGGAAUCACGCUUACAACUCCCAUUCUAAACCUGGGGUCACACUGAAGAGUCUUCCGUUUCACUGCAUGCCUUCAUCUCUGUUAUUUGAACUAUGGCCUUUUGAAAUGGCAACAUUGGUAGUGACACGUGUAUUUCAUAAAAUAAAUAAAUAAAAACUCUUCAGGGUUAAAAAGAAGCUUGUACCCAAGUUCUCAUUAACCAUUUUGUUUUCAAAACAUGAAUAUUCAUUUAUUCAUGGAUUUAUUUAAGAGAAAAUCAUAGAAGGAGAGUAUUCUUCUGACAAAAUAACGACGGACGACUUAAGGUAUGUACACACCGAACGCGACAUUUCUGUCGCUGUAGCGCCAGUCGUCAGCAGCAGGUAGCUUGCUCAAGUCGUCAUUAGUCGCCACCUGUCCGGAUCGAAAGUAGGUCAGUCGCCGGAGGGCGUGGUCUCAAGUUGUUGUGGACGGUGGAUUGAAGAUGGCGGAGCCGGUGCUCAAACUAUCGCUACUUAUUAAUUGAAAACAUGGAAAAAGAGACGUCUCUCGUUUCGUAGCAUUCGCCAGAGCCGCUCACACUGGUGAAUUUAACUUCCUGCUCCAGCAGCGUCACCGGGAUACGGCCGCUUCGUGCGGUACUUCAGGCGGAACCGCCGCGAGUUGGACGACCUGUUGGUCCGGAUCAGUGGCCGAAUACAGGACACCAAGUGCCGCGGUCUGUCCUCUGGCGAACGUCUGACUUCGAUCUUCGGUAACAGGAGACUCAUCACCAACUGCUUCUGUGUUGGUGUGACGGUCUACUUCCAGGAGCUGACCAGAGGACCACGGCCACCGACCACAUAUGUUUUUGUUGAAGAUGAGGCUUCUCCUUUUUGGAAAAAAACAGUUAUCAGUGCAACACAAUUGCUCAUUCAAGAGUCAGCCACCUAUUUUAACAAAGCAUAGGUUCUUGCAUAUAUAUUUCAUCUCUGCAAUAAAACAAAGCUGUGUUCAACUCAAUUUGUUGAUAUUUUGCAAAGUGCUUUUGAUUUUAUUUUUUUCUGUGAAUCCAUUUUUCACAAAAAGAAAUGUUCAUUGUCAAACACUUAAUUUGCAAAAAUAAAGUAACCCCAUUCAUUUAUACUCAUUCAAUACACACAGAAUCACAGUCAAACUUGAAGUGAACUACGUAGGUGUGUUUUGAAGGAUCUUCCUCAGAGGGACGAGGGUCAAGAGAGGCGGAGGAAGUGGGGCAGCAUCCGGUUCUUUAAUGAAACUGUGGCUACAAAGAAAAUAAAUGAAGGGUCCAAAUGGUUUCAGUCAGCUGUUGUUUUGCUUGGUAAAGUAACAUGUACAUUUUAAAUUUAUGUGGAACCUGGAAGGAACGAGGACCUUGAAAACUGUCCCUUCUUCUGAGCUGGGUUUGUGGAGGGAGUACAUGAGUAGAUGUUUGAGCUGAGCUUCAGCAUCGGGGGACCCCUUCCUCUGUAGGUCUCUUCCAUCGGUGUCCUGCACAUAAUGAAAGUUGAGUCCAAUUACAUGCCAUAGUGAUGAGUACGAAUAAAUAAAAUCUGUAUAGGACAGCAAUAGUUAACCUAAAGCAAGUCAUGUCACUAUGACAGUGCUUGAAUGAUGUAGAACAAUAACAUUUAAUUAAAAAAAUAGAAUAAUGCUAGAAAAUGCUAUUUCUACAUACAUACAUACAGGCAGGAGGAAGGUCCAUCCUCCUCCUCCUCAUCAUCACCAACAUCAUGAGUGGAUCCAUCCUCCUCCUCUCCUUAAUGACAGCAUAGCGUGAUUACAUUAUUGUACAAGCUAUACAGAAAAAAGCUAUACAGAAAGCUACAUACAUUUUUAUAUUUAUAUAUUAAUCUAGUAUUCAGAAUGUCCCCACUAAAUGAUCGUGCAAACCUACCUACUACCUUGCUGCUGCUGCAUCUCCAGUCAUGUUGGCCGAGGUCUCUCUUGGAGAUGAAGGGCUCCAGAAGAGAGAGGACGGAGAAGAACGCACACUUCACGGCACUACAGUAGAUGCUGCUGACCACUCCGCUCCUCGGUCACCGUCCUCCCCUCAUAUAAACGGACCCUUCAGGACGUCUCAUCUGAAUUUAGUUAAAUCAGAAACAGUACUUAUUUAUCUCGUCACCAUACAUACGUAGUUUCUACCGUUGCAGCGGUGCAUUCGCCUCGUAAACUCUGUGGACAUUGCGUUUAGGCGAACAUAACUUUAGUAAACUUGCGUAAAUAAAGGUCUCAACUCACCAGGAACGCCACCGUUGUGGCGAACUUUCCCUCCGGACAAGAUUCUUCCUAUUUAUGUUCCGGUGGAAAUUAAAAAAUGCACAAUUUGAGCCACUCUCAGGACGGCGGAAAGUCUGCUUGUAAACAACCGCAGCGAUUUGCUUCUCCUCCGCCGGGACACGUCACUUGCGGAUCUGGUCUCUGAUUGGUCAACGCUCCGCAGGUGGUGAACUUCUGUGACUGUCGCUGUACCGCAGUUGUGUCGUCUUGAGUAGCCGGAGUCGCCGUAUGUAGCUCAAAUCUUGUAGCGUUGCACACCCCAGUCGUGUCGCUGCCAUGUUGGUCACCGCUGGUCGCCGUCAGUCGCCCAACCCCAUUGACUUUCUAUGCAAAUCAGUCGUGUCGCUCGCGGAAGUCGCGUUUGGUCUGUACGUACAGUUACAUUUCUCAAAAUCAACUGGUAUCUUUGAAGCUUGUUACUCUGGAGGAAACGGUCUGAUUUUAGCAGGGAUGUGGCGCCAUCUGGUGGUCAACCUCAAAGUAGCCUAAAGUUUCAGUUGGGUAAAAGCCCUUUGUGGGUGGAUGGGUCAAGACUUUUUUCAAUGAAAUAUUCCACUUAAAUAUCACUGUUUUAGACGGCUGUAGCUUGAAAACCUAGAGAGAUGAAGACAUACUGUAAAAGAAAAGAAUAUUCAGUAUGACCCUAAGUUUGAGAUGGAAGUGGAUUCUAAUUGGCAUAUUAAAAUUCUGCCUGGCGGUGGCUGUAGCACAUAUCUUCUACAGAUGUUUUGUCUGAUCCACUGAGACAUUCUUCCACAUCUCUGAAUGAUGAUGGCUGGGCAUCAUCACCGUCGUUAACAGCAGGACUGUGCAGCCUCCACGACUAUUCUCAAAGUAUUUUCUCCUGCGUUUUCUCCUGUGUCCACUGUUAUAUCCCAAUUAUUUUCUUAUUUCUCUCAUUAAUUUUACACUGUUAAGCUCCAUUAUGCGCAUUGGACUCUCAGCAUACGGACACGCUGUCACUGCACUAGGGCUGAAAUUAGCAACUGUUUUGACAGUUGAGUAGUCACCAACUUCCUCUAUGACUAGUCGACUAGUGGGCAUGCGAUGUGUAGCAGAUAGUGAUAAUUGUUAAAUGUUUCAUUUUUAGUGGCAUGAAAUGUGGUGAAGAUCAAGGCAAGAUAAGUUUCUCCUACUCAAACUUGGAUGUGUAAUUUAAACAACAAUGUAUUAUUGAGUCAAAAUUGAAUAUUAACCAUAACCUUUGUGUCAGAAAGGUUAUGGGGUUAAUUGGGUGAGUAACAUAGCUCUGUAGCAUCAGUUAGCGACUGGGCUCCACUCAGCACGCAGCAGAGCAAAGGAAGACAGUGAUGCUGGAUCGAUUGUACAUUAUACUACUAGUGUCACUGCAGUUCUACUGAGUGUGAGACACAGCUUGACCCUGUGCUCAUUCGGUCUGUUCUCCACCAAUGUUCAACAGAUUUUCCCCCAAGAACCGUGUCAAAUGGCAGCAGAGAUGGAUGGCACACACUUCAAGCCUUGUGUGGAGAGGAAUACAAAGGUAAAACCGUCCCGUCUGAGCAGGUUUUGUGUUUAUUCACUGACGCUACAGUGUGCUAGUUUUCUAUGACCAUUACAUGAUUUCUCAACAAAUGUGUCAGACAAAAGAUAGUGAGAGCCAAUAACUUUGGUUCAAUGAAUAAGAUCUAAAAGGUUACGUUCAGAACGGAAGCUUAGGAGACCAGCUUUCGUUCAUCCCGGUGAUUGCGUCCAAAUGUGUACCUAUCAUGUGACAUGACUUACAGCUGCAAGUGAAAGUAUGUCAACUUUUUAGAAUUACUUGGAUUUCUGCAUAAAUUACUCAUAAAGUGUGUUCUGAUAACAGUCUGCUUAAACUAAUUCUGCAUAAAAAAAAGUUUUCAUGUUUUAAUUACAACACAAGUAGGGUGCUCCGAUCGAUCGGCCACCAAUCAUAUCGCGCGACCUCACCGUGAUCAGUGAAUGCUGAUAACUGCCUGUCAUUGCCGAUUAGGGAAUGGCCAUAUGGACAAAAACAGUUAAUACGAUAAUGAUAAUUAUUAUGACAAAUCCAUUUUCAUUCUAUUUCAUGUGUUGGACUCUACAGUCUCUCUUGAAACUGUUCAAUGAUGAAAUUAAUUUGUGGACUUCGUCUCCAACAUCAUUAUUGUUUAAGUUUAAAUAUAGUAGUUGUCAAGUUAUUUUAGCAAACUCCAGUUUUUGCCCUAACUUGAAAAGGCUUGCUUGACACGGCUUGUCUUGACUUUUAUUAUUUAUCAUUUUUGAGUGAAGAGGUUGAAAACCAUCCAGAAUAAACAAACCAAAUAAACAAAUCAAUUUUGUUAACAAAUAAACAUUAAAUUCUAAAUAAAACUCUUCUUCAAAAUUCUUAUAGUUUCAUACCGGUGGUGUCUUCAGGCCAAGCACAAACUGAAGUUCUUUCACACAGUGUUGCGCGAAUAUGUGCUCCUUGUGCUGCAGCUGAUUGCUGCAGCCUGCCACAGUGAGUCUUGUGAGUCAUUUACUGUUUCCUCACUUACUUUUUUUUUUUCUAAUGGACUCAACACCUACCACUUGACCAACUGGUCCUUGAGCCUAAGGAGGUCAUCAGACUCAUGUUGGUGGUAUUGGUCUGGUCUCUGGGAUAUGUUGCUCUUCCAUGGGUAGAAGGACCACUAAAUGCCGAACAUCUCUGUGAAGGGUUGUUGUGGGGUUGGAUAACUUUGCGCCGGGUAUUCCAUCUACGCUGAAUGUCUGUUUCAUGAUUGUUGCUGGUUGGCCAAGACAGGUCUGAACAAUCACGUCUCGGAUGAUGCCCCUUUCAUCCAUUUUGACAACCACUCUAGCAAGCAUGUACUGGCCUCUUAGGGCAUUUUGAUCUGCAAGCCACACAACGUCUCCAACAGACACAUACCUUUCCCUCGUGUGCCAUUUACUUUUGACAAACAAGUUGGGCCCGGCCAGUUGGCUCCACUUCAGCCAAAAUUUGUUCACUUCAGUCUGGGUACGCUACAACCUUCUGUAAGGAUAUUCGUCGAACUCAAAGGUAGCAGGAUCGCCACUUUAACCGGUGCGACCUAGAAGGAGGGAGUUCGGGGUGACAUAGUCAAUGCAGUCUUCUCGGCUCUGGAUUCUGGCAUCUAUUGGUCUUUCAUUGACUAAGUUGGCAGCCAUGUAAAGGAAUGUUUGGGAAUUCUCCCCAAGUGAAAACUCCAUCCCCUCCAAUAUUAUGCAGAGCCCUUUCUACUACCGCUGAUUCUGCAGCACCGUUUCGAUGGGGGGGCGUCUGCUGGAUGAAUUUUCCAACACCAUUUGGUUCCAUGCUUUGUUGAUUCUGCCUCCAGAUUUGCUCUGGCCAUGUUGUUGAUAAACUGAUGAAGAUCCUUCAGUGCAGGUUUAGCGCCAAUAAAGUCUGCCCUCUCAAUGCAGUGAAACGAUGAUAGGCCAAAAGGAACCCUUUAGAUGACUGGUCACUGACAAUAUCUGUAUGUACAGCUCUUGAUGCCAUGCAGCAGAAGACUAUUCCCCACACUUUUGAGUUUUACUCUUUCCUUUACUUCAUCCAUCACCUGAUAUGGGCCAAACAAAUCAAGUGUGGUAAAUUCAAAGGGUCCAGCAGCGUUUGUACGUUCUAUGGGGAGGUCGCUCAUGAUUUGUUGGCAUCUUUUGGCCCUUAUUUUUCUGCAGGUCACACAACUUCAGCCUUUAAUGAUCCAGGCUUUCUUCCUCGUUCGUUGAAGUGUCCUUGCAACUUCCUCAUGAUUGACUCCAUGCGCCUCCUGAGUUAUCAGUGUGGAAAUCCUGGAAUUAUACGGCAAGACUGAUACUGAAUUAUGCUCCUCACUGUAGGAUUGAAUUCUUCCACCACAAACUAGAAGUCCAGAUGUUUCAUCCUUGUACAUGACGAGCAUCAUCCUUGCUUCUGAAUGGCUCUCAACUUGUCUCCUAACUUCUUGUCUUCAGUGUCAUCAUCAAAGUUUCUUUGUAUUAAAAAUAAGUUUAAAGUACAAUCAUGUACCAAAGUCCACCACACUCUCCACAACUAUCGCAGCGGAGCCAGAGAGCACAGUGCACCUUCGCUGUUUUGUCAUGUUCAUGUGUGCUGGUCCAUUGCAGUGAGUGAGCUGCACAUUAUUCAAACCUAUUUUGAAAUGCCGAGGCAUUUCCAGGCAGCGCUGGUUCGUUUGCAGCACGCUGUUUGCGCAUUGAACACUUACCAACAUUUGCAGGUCCAAGAAUGAUAUUCACAAUGCUAAGCUCAUUGCCAAGAAAUAAUCAUUAAUUUCACUGAGCUAGAUGACCAGCUUUUCUUGGGUCUUUUUGAAAUAGAAUUGAUGAAUUACGCUACUGUUUUGUGUUGGAUGUAGUGUUCUUUAGCCUCCUGAAUCUGAAACUUUAACCGUCUGGAGUGGGAACGUCAAAAGGUGGAAGACCGCUGGUUCUGUGUCACACGUGCUCUGCCCUCUAAUGGACUUAGCUAUUGGUUACCUCCACCCCGAGGCCCCGCCUUGCGCCUGAGAGCGAUUGAUUGGCUUUCCACCCAGGAAGGCUCCACAUCUCCUUAUAACACCCCCUGUUCGCCUUUAUGCUUCUUUCUCACACAGCCUGAGAGUGUGUUGUCAUCAUCAUUGGAUGCUUGGAAGUAUGGAGUCUUUGACUCACUGCAAUGUGCGUAAGGCAUGGAUGCCUGAAUUCGACGACCACGCCGCGUGUGUCAAGUGCGUUGGCAUAUUCAUCUGCGUUAUUUGACCUGUUGUCUGGCUCGUGUGGCUCUGCCAGCUGACGAGCGAGAGAAGUGAGCGGCCAUUCUGGAGGUAGCCCAGUCCAGUUCCCCUCCCCCCGCGGAGGCCUCAGCGUUGUCUCUCUCGACGGCUAAGCGAUCCAAGAUGUCUGACAACUAAACCAAGAGAUCCAAGAAGUCCUCCAAACCUUGGGAUGAGUACAAGGAGUCGGAUGAGAGGAGAGAGUUUGAACAAGAGGAUCCGGGGUCCGGCCAGCCCUGUCGACCGUAUGUUUCCCCUGGACGACAUGCGCGGGCUAUCGAAGAAGGCUGUCGUGAGGCUCAAGAGUAGUUAUGCCGCCUUCCUCGGACGACGAGAAAUUGGCUGAUUCUUCCUGCUCCAUCUAUGACUGACUUGGACAUGAAAAGCUCCCUCAAAUUUAAGACUCUAGCUGCAGCCUUUGCAGCGUAUUGGGAAGUUGACUGGGUUGACUGAAGAGCCGGGGUCCUCAACCUUGGCGAGUCUUGGUGGGCCUGUUUGGACUCUUCCGACUGACAGUUGUUCGGUUGGACUGGGCCUUCACCUGCAGCAUCCAGGUCAGAGCUCUCGCUAACAUCAUGGCUAUACUGGCGGGACCGUUUGGCCUUGUUCAAGGACGCUUUCCAUGCCGAAGACGUACAUGAAGUUCAGGCGGCGUCGGUGGCAGACCUCCUGUGGAUGUCACGGGCCAUCAUGAAGAUCGGGAAUCGGGUUUGUGCUUCCUCAUUCUGAAGAAGUCCGUGGUCUGAAACCAAUUCUAGACCUGUGGGGUCUGAACCAGUACAUUGCCAGACGAACGUUCAGGAUGCUGUUGGCAGGCCAGCUGCUGGAGUGCAUCAAGCACGGAGACUGGAUGACGUUGUUCGAUCUGACGGAUGCUUAUUUCCACGUUCCCAUUCCACCCCGUCACAGGCAACAUUUCCGCAAUGGGGGAGACAUGCCCCCUUUGGAUACUCAUUGACGCCUCAAACCUUAACUCGGGUCAUGGAGGUGGCGCUGGAGCCGCGGGAUCAGGAUUCUCACAUGUCAGGACUGAUUCCAGCCUCAUCCAGGGAGGAAGUGGAAGCCCACACCACUGCUGUUCUGCCACAUCAAGUGUCUGGAGUUUGCGGUGAAUAUGCAGAAGAGCGCAGACAACCUGCACCCAACUGCAAUACUUGGGAAUCUGGCUAGACUCGUUGACGAUGACAGCUCGACUCUCAUAUGUGAUGACCAUAUCAUUUCUCACCUAGCUUUGCAAGGUAAAAAGCAGUCUUGAGGUGCGAGCGCAUGAUGUAAUGUCGCUGCCGGGUCUGAUGGCGGUAGCGUAUCCGGUUGUGCGACUGGGGCUCCUGGAUAUGAGACGUUCGCAGAGAUGGUUUUGCCAGCUACGACUGCAUUCUGUGCGGGCCAAGCGCAGGUUACUAACAGUAACUGUCUGCACAAGUCAGCCAGGAUCUGAGACUCGGCGGACCGUCUGACGGGAGUGACUCUUGGAUGCAUCCCGCGCAAUGUACACGUGUUCAUAGGCGCGGCUCUGAUAGGUUGGUGGGGGCCAUGGACCAGUGCAGAGUGGGUGCUGUUGUACGCAUUUCCGCCGCUGCUGUUGAUGCUACUGCUGGAUCGCGUGAGGAUGCAGGGUCUCUCUGUGUUGGUGGUGCUGCCAGAGAGUCCAGGCACCAGAUGGUUUCCGAAUCUGGCGACACUGUCGCUAGGGACCCUGUGGCCGAUCCCAGACUCCUACCCUGUGCUGGGCCGUCCUCCCUAGUUUUGGUGAUUGAAAGGGUGAGACUGAGGGUAUCAUCCAGAGUUCCAGGGCACAUUCCACUAAUAAGGGUUAUACGUCAAGAUGGGCUGCAUUUGUGAAGUGGCGUGAGGAAUGGCACCUGUGAACCACAAGUUUGCCCUAGUCAGGGACUCAGUCACUCUACAGCCGAACCUGGCGCUUUGUCCCUAGGUGAUCACCUCCUCCUUCAGGUCUCAGGUGCUGUCCCUUCUGUCCUUUUUCCCACCCCAGCACAAAGACUACGAGGCUGUUCAGUCACACAGGCUGUGCGCCAUUCGGGCGCUGGCUUGUUAUGUAGAGCUGUUGUUGGGACAGUUUUAUUCGUUAGUCAUGGGCUCGCUCACAGGCUUUGUGAGGCCAUUAUCAAAGCAUAUUGUGAAAAGGGAACAGAACCUCCUUCAGGCCUCGUGGCCCACUCAACAAGAGCAGUUUCCUCAUUGACUGCACUGUUUAAAGAAGUGGCCAUGGAGGACACAUGCCGGGAAGCGUCUUGGUUGUUUCUAAACAAGAAUGGAGUUCAUGAGUUGACAUCUCAGAGGACGCAGUUGCAGUCCAAAAAAGAAAAACAUUGCUACACAUUUGAAGUUUGAAGCAUCUGAAUGUUCCACAGCUCUGUACUGGUAAAUAUUCUGUGGACAGAUUAAAUCAAAACAGAGUUGUUUGGAAAGAACACACACCGCUGAGUGUGGAGAAAAACAAGCAUAGCACCCUGACCUUAGAACCUCAUCUCAACUGUGAAAUAUGGUGGAGGGACCAUGGUUUGGGCCUGGAUGGCCUCAGGGCCUGUGAUCAUCAACGGAAAACGAAUUCCCAAGUUCAUCAGGACAUUGUGCAGGAAAAGUAAGACCAUCUGUCAACCAACUGAAGCUCAACAGAGGAUGGCUGAUGCAACAGGACAAUGAUCUGGAGCAUAAAUAAAGUCAACAACUUAGUGGUUUCAACUGAAGUAAAUGUGCCUUCUGGAAUAGCCCAGUCUUGAGUCCUGACCUCAACCUGAUUGAGAUGCUGUGGCAUGACCUCAAGAGGGCAAGUCGGACUAGACAUCCCAAGAACAUUGCUGAACUCAAGUUUUGUGCAUAGGAAUGAUCUGAAAUUCACUUGUGCAGGUCUGAUCUGCAACUACAGGGAUUGUUUGGUUGUGGUUAUUGAUGCCAAAGGAGGAGGGUCAACCAGUUAUUAAAUCAAAUGGUUUUACAUACUUCAUCCACUCUGCAUUGUGAAUGUGCACAUGCGUUCAAUAAGCACAUGAAAACGUCUACAUUAUUAUGUGGUAUUAGUUUAAGCAGACUGUAUAGUGGUGCGGUUUAGAUGAUCUGAACAUAUUUUAUGACCAGUAUGCAGAAAACCAAGUAAUCCCAAAGGGCUCACAUGCCUUUUAUUACAACUGUAAAUAUCAGCACUAUGUGAAGUCUGGCCUAUGUAUGACAUUCUCAAUUAUAGUCUAUCUUACUCCCAAAAUGAAAUAUAUAUGAUGAUGAUGUAUAAUGUUGACCAGUGGACCACAACUUUGUUAUCUCUAAGGAGGCAAGUUACUCAAGUAUGCAGUGAAUUUAGUUGGUGACCGGUUGUGGUUAAUUUUGUUUUUGUGCCUUAUCUGAAAUCACUUACGUAAUGUCGAUGAGGACAGACUUGUGGAUAAGUGUCAUAAUGCCCCUGUCUUAUGUGUUGAAAGGUGCCAAAUUUCCCUGCCAUCGCCGUUUUAUGUAGGUCUCAUAGUUCUGUCCAUUUUUUCAUGUGUUGUAAAUUUUUGUACACACGCCGAUUUUUUCAGUUCUAUCACGCCUUUAUUCUCCUUAGUUUUCCACAUCCCCCAUUUAAAGAUGAUUGUUGAUAGUUAAAUAUCCUCACUGCGUGACCAGUAAAGGUACUUCAACCUGCACUGGCCAAUUAAAUUGCAUUAAAGCAAAUAAUGAACUUUAUCACAAUAUUCUAAUUUUCUGUGACAGUCUUGUAUAUCACACUACUGUUAUGCUAAUGCAAACAUACAGGUCUCUGGUUUAAGCCAUCAAACCAGCCAGAGAAGCAAGUUUGAGCGUAGCCUAAAGGGUCCUCUGAAGUAUUCUAAGACUUUUUGCCACCACCGAUUGGAAUGUACUCAGACAAGCAGCCAUCUUCAACAGCACUACAGAUUUUCAGGAGUACUAAGAGACUGUCACUGCGUACAUGAGAGUGCAUGAAUGAUGUUGGUCACCAGAACCAUCUGCAUCUGGGAAGAUCGGAAACAGUGGCUCACAGGGGAGGUGUACAGGCUCCUGCAGGCCGGUAACACUGCCAUCAGAGACAAUCUGUCACGUGGCAUUAGACUGGCCAAGAGACAGCACAUCAAGGGAACCACUGACAGAUUCUCUGACAGCAGAGAAUGUAGGAACCUCCAUCCAUCCAUAGUCAUCUGCUUAUCUGUUGCCGGGUCGCGGGGGCAGCAGCUUCAAGAGGUCACGCCAAACGCCCUUCUCCUGAGCGACAUCCACCAGGAUCAUUGGGCCACCAAACCGCAAACCCUCCUCACCAGAGCUGCGCCUCGAAAUCCUGUCCAUGUAGACCAAGAACAGGACUGGAGACAAAGCACAACCCUGAAUACAUCGGACUACAUUGGAAUACAUCGGACUUGCAUCCAAGUAUACGCACACAACACCCGCCCUGGGAAUACAGAGACUGAACAGCCCUCCGUAGAGAACCACUCACCCCAUGCUCCCGAAGCACCUCCCACAACCGAUCUCUGGGCACCCGGUCAUACCCCUUCUCCAAGUCUACAAAGCACAUGGACGCGUUGGCCAUACUCCCAGGAACCCUCGAGAACAGUCGCAAGAGUAAAGAGUUGGUUCGUCGUUCCACGGCCAGGACAGACUCCGCAUUAUUCCUCCUGAAUCCGAGGUUCAAUUAUCGAUCGGACCCUCCUUUCCAGCACCUUAGAGUAGACCAUACCAGGGAGGCUGAGGAGUGUGAUGCCUCUGUAAUUUGCACACACCCUCUGGUCCCCCUUUUUAAAUAGAGGGACCACCACCCCCGUCUGCCACUCAUCCGGUACCGACCCAGAUCUCCACGCAAUGUUGAAGAGGCGUGUCAGCCAAGACAACCCAUCAACACCCAGAGCUUUCAGCAUUUCAGGACGAACCUCGUCAACUCCAGCAGCCUUGCCACCGUGCAGUUUUUUGACUACCACAGUAACUUCAGCUCGAGAAAUUGACGUAGACUGCCCAUCAGCCUCCAGCUCUGUCUCCCUUACAGAGGGUGGAAUGUCCGUAUUCAGGACUUCCUCAAAGUACUCUUUCCAACGUCCAAUUACAUCCUCUCUUGAAGUCAGCAGUAAACCGUCCUUGCUGUAAACAGCUUGAAUGUUCCGCGGCCUCCCCCUCCUGAGGUGCUUGACGGUUUUCCAGAAGCGCCUUGCUGUUGAUCGAAAGCCUUCCUCCAUGGACUCUCCAAACUUCUCCCACACCCGCUGCUUGGCCUCAGCAACAGCCGAAGCCGCAGCUCUUCGAGCCAGACGGUACCUUGCAACUGCCGCAGGAGUCGCACAAGACAAUAGGUCCCGAUAUGACUCCUUCUUCAGUCGGAUGGCUUCCCUGAUCUCUGGUAUCCACCAAGAUGUCCUUGGGUUGCCGCCCCUUGAGGCACCGAUGGCCUUCAGGCCACAACUCGCAACUGAAGCUCUUUCAGGCUGUGCCCGGCCCGGUUACGUGGGUAGCCCGGCCACCAGGCGCUCACCGACAGGCCCAACACCCAGGCCGGGCUCCAGGUGUGGGCCCCGGUAUCCCUCCGGGCCGGGUACUCCUUUUCCAUUUUUCCUUCUCCAUAACGUCGUAUGGACUGCACUUAGUCUGACCUCUUAUCAGGGACCUGUUUGUCAAGGAUGAUCGAAGGAUGAUCGUACCAGGAGCACAAGGCUCCCAACAACACAGCUCCCUGAAUCAUUGAGGUACUCAAACCCCUCCACCACGAUAAGGUGACGGUCCACGGGGAACCUGUGAUGGGGGAUUCAUACGAUCACAGACUACAAGCUUCCUACUCAGACUUGUGACCCCUUAGUUGAACAAGCUGAAUGACUUCUUCGCCUGCCUUGAAGCUGAUAACACCCUGGUCCAGAAGAUCCCGCCUCCUCCUGGUGAUCCAGUCUCAAUAUUAUCCCUGGAUAGUGUGCAGCAGGACAAACGCACGGAAAGCCGCUGGACCAGACAACAUUCCUGGCCUUGUCCUAAGAGAUUGUGCUGCAGAUCUCAGAGAUGUCGUCACAGACAUCUCAAACACUUAACUGAGCCAGGUAGUUGUGCCAACGUGCUUCAAAGCCACAACCAUCAUUCCUGUCUCAAAGUUGUCAACAUCCUGCAGCUAUGAUUAACACCUGGCGGCACUCACCCCAUUCUCACGAAGUGCUUUGAGCGACUGCUUGUGCAGCACAUCAAGUCUGCCCUGGAUCCCUUCCAGUUCAUAUAUCGGCUCAACUGCUCCACUGAUGACGCCAUCCACUCAGCUCACUCCCAUCCGGAGACCGGGAAUGCAUACGUCAGAAUGUUGCUCAAUUAUCCCCAGCAACCCAUCUGCAACACCUCCCUGUGUAACUGGCACAAGGUGCAAGGACUACUAUAUCCACCCAAAUAUAGAGAAAAUAAAGGAGAGUAGUGAGGACCUCAGGAGAGUUCCCCAGCUAACCCAACACACUAAGACAUUUGUCAGAUUUAGUAAUCCAUGCUGCAGUGUGCAGCUGCACCAGGGUAGCAUGGAAGCCAGUGUUGCUGUUUCUAAGCGUUCGCUCCUUAAACUACUCGAUCAACAGGCAGUCGUAGACUGACCGGAGAGGUGGUAGCGAUAGCGACAAUGAAAUGAAAUGUUAUCUAGUAAACAGUUAAUAUGGUUGAGCACUCUCUUACUUGUAAGUGGGGACAGAAAGAAACUUCUAUGUCUAUGUGAUACAUCCAGCUUAUCCAACAUGGCCUGCAACCAGCUUCUUACAACUAUGGCACUUCAGGUACUUUGUUCCCUUGAAGUAUCAGCUGUUCCUGAUGAACAGCCUCCGCACUGUCUUGUACUAUCUGGCAGCCCAGAGGUGGCUCUUAUGGGGGUAGUCCCAUGGCCUGUAAGCCAUCCACAGGAAGAAAUGUGGCUGGAAGAGGGGGUGGGAUGUUCGUGAAGUUGUGGCCUGUCCAACAUGCUGGUGGAGAAAAUCACUGUUCUCCUGUGUCAGGGACAGCGGACCCAUGGCUGCGUUGUUUACACUCUGGCUCAGCUGAUUGAACUGUGGACGAACACUUCUAUAAUGACCAGACAUUUUUAUAUUCUGGAGGAGAUUUGGAGAAGGACACAUCAAGGUUGCUGAGGAAAGAAGAGCCAACAGAACCAGCAGAGAUGGGAAACGUGGAUGAGACAACAGAGGCUUACAAAGUAGAGGUUCAAGCUGUUUCUCCCCUCAGUUACCAUGGGCAAUGUGAGGUUGUUUGCUGGCAAAAUGGAGUUGACAACAUUAGUCAGGAAUCAGGUGGAGUACUGGGAGUGUAGUUUAAUGUGUAUAACUGCAACAUGGCUGCACCAGGAUAUUACUGAUGACAAUGUGGCCAUUGUCACUGUUUAUAUUUCUCUCUCUGCCAACCCGACCAAUCUGACCACAGUGAGUGAAGCCCUUCUCACUGUGAUAGCCCAACUACAGACUAGAAAUCUGAAUGCUCUUAUUGCUAUCUGGGGUGACUUCAGUCACACCACCAUGGACAAGAUUUUAUUAAACUUCAUGCAAUAUGUGAUCAGAGAGGAGAGGAUUCUGGAUCUAUUGUACAUUAAUGUGAAAGAUGCAUAUGAGUCGUCUCCUGGAAGGACUCGCAGACUGCAUCACUGGUUACUUGAACUUUUGUGUGGACUCCAUUGUCCCAGCUGCGACCGGCCAAUGCUACCCAAGCAAUAAGCUGUGGGGAACAUAAGACAUAAAGUCUAUACAGAAUGUGAACACAGCGACUUUUAGGGAUGUCUACAAAGAGGCAAUGAGAAGGAUCCAACAUCACCUGAUGCCGAAAAUUAGAGAGGUCAAGGAAGAGUACAAGGAAAAGCAGGAAGGGGACAAAACAACAUCGAAGAAGUUUGGAGAGGGACGAGGACCAUCACUGGUCUUGGGCCAUCCGACGGCAGAGGAGCUGGGGGCAGUGUGGCGCAGGCAAACAUACUAGGUUAGUUCUUUAACUGAUUCAAACUUUACCACAGCCUGCUAACAUCUUCAAUAACACUUCCGUUACCUGUUAUCUAUCGCCACCUCGUCCAUCCCCUCCCACUCCUCACAUCCUUUCAUCUCCUUACACCUACUCCUCAUGGCAUUGGCUAUUCAGUAACCACCAACCCUGCCAUCACCUCCACCCCAGUUCUACAAUGAACAUCAUGUCAUGUCCGUACAUGAAUUGUCCAUUCCUUUUUGUAUUUUCCUCCAUGUGUCUGUCUUGUGCUUUUAGUUUGUUAUCUGCGGUUGUUCUCGUUUCCUGUUCCUACUCUCUCUCUAGUUUCAAGGGCAAUACAGCUGGCAUUCAUUCCCUCAACAGUCCUUACAUGGAUAUCUACCCAUCAACGGCAGCUCCAGUUGCCUGAUGGUUGCCUCUCGCACCGCUAUGGUAAAGUACAAGACUUUCAUGCGCUAGAUUUCCUCUCUGACCUUUUCUAGAUUUUUCUGUGCGCUUGAAUUUCUAUUCAGCCGUAUCCUGAGUUCCUCGUUCUGUCUCGCUCCGCUUUCGUUUCUCCUUUACGCCAUUCAGUCCGCGUGUGAGCUGUUUACAGUCUUACUUUUCAUUUAUAUCUCUUUCAUUAAUAACAUGUGGGUUAUUCCCUGUGUUUGUGUGUUUCUCCACCACUGAGCGCUCACUGUUAAUUGCCACCUUGUGAGCUUGACUUCGACUGUGGUUUGUGUUCUUCCAGGUUUAGGCUUUGAAUUCUUAUUUGCUUUUCUUAUGUUUUCAGAUUCUUGUUCCCAGUCCGUGUUCUGGUUCCGGCGCCUUAAGUUGUCGUCAUUUGUCUGUCUACUUAUUGUCUAGUCAUUGAUUAGAUCUUUUUAAUUUACUCUCGUCCCCCGUGCCUUUUAUUGGCCAGCACUUCGUGCACUUUGGUCCAUUCCUCUGAAAUAAUGCCAGCACCAUCUGGCCAUGUUUUGGACCCAGCAGUUGUUGCUGGUAUGCGGAAGACAUUAGGCGUCCAGGGCUCGAGAAUCGGAACUCCUGAAAGAGCUGGUCAGAGCGUUAUGGAUCAAAUGCAGAGUAAACUAUCUGUCCGCUGAUUCCGGUACUCCCACGUCAGUCUCAGCAGCUAACUCUGCAGUCAAACCAGCACACCCUGUUAUCAGCAGACGUGAUCCGACCAUCCCCACAACAACCUCCAACCCCCUGGAGGUUCAUGCUGGCAAAACAGGGUUCUGUAAUCACCUUUUUUUUUCCCAGUUCUUGAUUUUCAGCCGUCUUCAUUUACAACGGGCGGAUCCAAGGUGGCUUAUUGCCGAAACCUCCUCUGUGACCUCCACCCGUCUCCACCAAAAGGUUUGCAGUCUAAUUCCUACAGAAUUGGUUGUAACAGCUUUUCAGCUUCAUUGUGUGAAAACAAUAGUGUGUCUAUGUAGGCCUUAAAGACUGUGGUAAAACACCCCUGGGACACUUUGAGUACCGGGUCAUGCCAUUGGGGUAACCAACGCUCCAGUGAUUUUCCAAGCCCUGGUCUACGAUGUGUUUAGUGACAUGAUCACUCACUAUGUUUAUAUCUAUCUUGAUGAUAUGUUAAUCUUUCCAAAGGGGCAGGAGGAACAUCAAGAACACCUCUGUUAAGUUAUUCUGAGGCUGCUGGAGAUCAAACUGCUCUAUAAGGCUGAGAAAUGCGAGCUUCACAUGAAAUAGGUUAGCUUCCAGGGUUUCAUCCUGGCUGAGGGACGUCUCAUCCCUGAUCCUGUCAAAAUAGAGCUGGUCGUGAACUGGAAGACUCCCACCAGCUGCAAACAGCUCCAACAAUUUCUUGGUUUCUUCAGACGCUUCAUUCGCAACUAAAGUAAUGUUGCCGCUCCUCUAACUGCUUUCACUUCCUUCAAAGAAACAGUUCAGCCGAACAAGCUUUCUUCAUGGUCCGGACUCUGUUCUCCUCUGCUCCGGUCUUACAACACCCCGACCCACAACACUAAUCGUCGUCGAGGUGGUUGCCUCCGACUCUGGAUUGGGAGCAGUCCUUUCCCAGAGAGACGCUGAUGAUCAAAAGGUAGACCUAUGUGCCUACUUUUCCUGUAGGCUGGCUCCAGUGGAAUUUAUCUAUGAUGUUGGAAGCUGGGAGCUGUUGGCAGUGGUGGCUGCGCUGCGGGAAUGGCGGCAUUAGCUGGAGGGCACUGAAACACCCUUCAUGGAGCUAAAUGCCUAGAAGAACCUGACAUAUUUGCAGACCGUCAGACGCCUCAAUUCCUGUGAAGCUCACUGGGCCCUGUUUCUCGGCUGAUUUAACUUCUCCAUCACAUAUCGCCCAGGAAGUCUCAAUGUUAAGCCUGAUGUCCUCGCUCGACUCCACAAACGUGCCACCUCCUUCGACGUUCGAGACCAUCAUCCCCGCUUCCUGUGUCAUCCGUGCCGCCAGCUGGGACAUCGAGAAGAGUGUCCUGAGGACUGAAAGCUCCACCCAGCUCCCAGUCCUGGUCCUCUAAAUCGCCUAUUCGUCCCAGGAACAACAAGACCACAGGUUCACCAGUGUGGUCACUCAUCCAAGCUCGCCUGUUACCCUGACUCUAUGUAAGACUGGCAACACCUGCAACCAAACCAAGUCAUCCCACCGUCCUGCCAGGCUCCUGCAACUUCUACCACUUCCCGGCUCCCCGGUCACACACCGGCUCCCCGGUCACACAUCGCUAUGGACUUUGUCACAGGUCUUUCUCCGUCCGCUGGGAAAACUAUAAUCAUGAUGGUGGUGGACCAUUUUUCGAAAAUGGCUCACUUCAUUCCUUUGUUGAAACUUCCUUCUACCCUUGAAACCGCUGAACUGGUGCUCCACAUCUUCUGUCUCCACAGAUUUCCAUGUGAUGUGGUCUCCGACAGGGGCCCAUAGUUUUCUUCUCAAGUCUGGCGUGCCUUCCUUAGGGCACUGGGCGCAUCUCCGAUUCUGUCCUCUGGAUACCAUCCACAGACAACUGGUCAAACCGUAAGAGCUAAUCAGGAUCUUGAGUCUGCCCUCUGAUGUGUCUCCAAUCAAGGUCCCUCCGCUUGGUCAUCUCAUCUUCCAUGGGUGGAGUACGCCCACAACAGCUUGACCUCCCCCGCUACGUGUAUGUCUCCAUACAUGAUGGCAUAUGGGUACAACCUCCCCUGUUUCCAUCCCAGGAGGCUGAAACUGCAGCCCCUUGAGUCAUCCAGCACCUCCGCCCGCUGCUGAGAGACAUGGUCCUGUGCUUGGACGGCUCUCUUCUAUUUGUCGAGCACUGAGGGACGUGGUCCCGUGCUUGGAUGGCUCUCUUCUACACUGUCCCGCUGCUGAGAGACAUGGUCCUGUGCUUGGACAGCUCUCUUCUACUCUGUCGAGCACUGAGGGACGUGGUCCCGUGCUUGGAUGGCUCUCUUCUACACUGUCGAGUAUAGUAAAGAGACUUGCUGACUGCAGUCGAAUUCCUGCCCCAACCUACCAGUCCCUACGACAAGGUGUGGCUUUCAACCCCGACCUACAACGACUGGGUGAGUCCCGCGAGCUCUCACCAAGAGACAUUGGUCCUUAUAAAGUCCAGACGAUCAUCAAUAACUUGGUUGUCUGACUGAAACUCCUGGAUUCCCUACACGUUCAUCCUACUUUCCAUGUGUCUCUCCUCAAGCAUAUCGCCUCAUCCACACUCCAUGCAGCCUCUGAAGCUUCUCCACCCACCAUCACCGUUGAUGAACAUCCAGCUUACAUGGUGAACAAGAUCCUAAUCAGCAGACAAUGUGGCCUAGGGGUCCAAUACCUCGUCAACUGGGAAGGCUACGGUCUGGAGGAAUGUUCAUGGAUCCCCCGGUCGCUCAUUUUAGAUUCCUCCUUGAUCUCUGACUUCGAUGUUAAAUGCCUCAAUCAACCCAGCAAAGUGCCAAGAGGCCCUUCUUCAGGGGGGUUAUUGUCACGUCCGCACAGAAAUUUUCUGUUCAUUUUUGUAUUUUCCCUGUGUUUCUGUCUUGUGCUUUUAUUUUGUCAUUCCUAGUUGUCUUCAUUUCCUGUUCCUGCUCUCUCGCCGGCUUCACGGGCAGCUGGCAUUCAGUCCAUCGUCAAUCCUCCCAUGGAUAUCUACCAGCUCCAGUUGCCAGAUGGUUGCUUUUUGUUCCGUUACGGUGAACUCCUACAAGAUGUCCUGCUCUUAUUUUCCUCCCUACCUAUCUAGACUUUUCUGCACGCUUAAAUCCCUAUUCAGCCGUAUCCUGAGUUCCUUGUUCUUUCUUGCUCCGCUUUCGUUUCUCCUUAGCGCCAUUCAGUCCGUGUGUGAGCUGUUCUAUAGUCACCUUUUAUCUCCGACGUAGCAUAUUCCUCGUGUAUGUAUUACCCCUCCACCAAGUGUUUUUUGUUUAUUGCCACCACGUGUUCUGUGUUCUCUCAGUCAUAGGUUUUGAAUUUUAUUUAGCCUCUGUGUUUUCAGAUUCUUCCUCAGUCCCUACGCGUUGUUCCCGGUCUGCGUAGUGGUUCUGGCGCCUUAAGCGAUAGUUAUGUCUCUCUACUUAUUGUUGUUCUUUGAAUGAAUGUUAUUAAGAUAAUCUUGUCUCCCAUGCCCUCUGUUGGCCAGCACUUCCUGCACUAGGGUCCAUUCCUCUGAAACACCUCAAAGCCAAGGCGGUCAGAAGAAAAUCUGGGAAACUUCAUGUCAGCUCAAGGGUGUUAAAAGUCUCUGCCACCCAUCUGUAUGGAGUUCCUCCAGUAUGUCUACACAGCAAGUUUGAGCUUGCAGACGGGUCCUGUGUUGUGGAGGACAACUUGCCUCAUGCUUGUACUGAAAAGCCUGCGGCCCAAUGGCUCAAUGGACUACUAGCCUCAGUGUCUGAGGUGUCAAGGAGAAUGUUUUGUAAAGUGAAGGACAUUCUGGACCGUGUCUAACUCACUCCGCAAUAUCAUGAUCAAGCAGCAGUGUUCUUGCAGCACCAGACUGAUGACACCACGAUGCACAACUUGGCGCCACAGGAAAUACUUACCUGUGGCCAUCAAACUGCAUGACUCAUUUUUGUUUAUCAUGUUUGUUGAGUACCAUUCCCUGCUAUGCAAUUUUUGUUUGAGUUGUGGUUGUAAUGGAAAGUAAUGUCCAUCUGGAUAAAUAGUGAUUCUGAUUCUGACUGCAAUGGCUGGAUGACAGAGUGAGUUUCAGCUGAUAAAUACCAUUAUUCAUUUAAUGGAGUUCAAUGGAGUUCAUAACACACUGGCCCAAAUGAUGAACUCACUAUUCUAGGAGCGUGUUCAUAUGGAAGAGGAUGAGGCCAUUGCAGAAAAAGAUGGCAGUUUGGAUGUUGAAAUGAGUCAGAAUUCUGACACUGAAAUCUGAGAAUUAAUCUGAUAUAAGAUAUCAGAUUACGCACUGUCUCAUUUCAAUUUUCAGUCAUGAUGCAGUGUCCAGAUUUCUUAUGUAAAUGAGGAAUGCAAAUUUGCGAUUUAUUUGGCUGAGCAGCUGGGACUCACUCCAACGAUCAUCCAGCCACUGUGCUUUUCAUUAAAUUUCAUAUACCAAAAUUCGAAUGAUACAGGAAAGAUUAGCAUGGCAACCUAGCAGAUUAAAGGCAGCAUUCUUCACAAAGUCACUUUUGUCACAGCAAAUUUCAGUCAAGAUGUGUUGACGUGUCCGGGUUGUUAACCAAAAUAAGGAACGCUUCACGAAUUUGCGUGUCAUCCUUGCGCAGGGGCCAUGCUAAUCUUCUCUGUAUCGUUCCAAUUUUAGUUGACGUAACAGCGAACUGUUACGUUCAGAAUAUGCUCUCUGAAGGCUUAAUAUAGGUGUGGUUGGAGUCAUCCCCUUGAGUCAUGGUGCAGCACUCGCUGCUAAUUUGAGGUCCAGUGGCCAUGUUCUGCCACUUCUCCAAGCAGGAAACCAUUUCUCAAUUGGUUAUGACACAUUGAGCACCUACAUGGAUGUCAUUUUGUUGAACAGCUUAGUAGAAAUAUGAAGGUAAGUGAAAUUACAGAGGUUGGAUGAUUGUUGGAGUGAAACCCAGCUGCUGAGACAAAUAGGCCCCUCCCCCAAAAUAUCAACAGGGUUUGCUGUGCUCAGACAACUAUCAUUCAGGUCACAGUGCUCAUACUGAGAAGGUGAGACUAUUCUAGGAGCAUGGUCAUUUGGAAUUAGGGCCACUGCAGAAUUCUCCCUUGAAAGUCUGAAUUCUGAUUUAGGCUGAAUUUUCAUGAAGAAUUAGAAUUCUCACUUGUAAGUCUUAAUUCUCACAAUAAUGAUUUGAGAUCAGAGCCAGAAUUCUCACUUCAAAGUAAAAGAUUUCUGAGAGUAAAGAUAUUUUAUCUGAAAUGACAUCAAAGGCAGUUGGUCAUACUAGAUUAAAGUCAGAAUUCUUCACAAAUUCUCACUUUUGUCACUGCAAAUUUCAGCCAAGCUGUGUUGACGUGUCCUGGUUUGUAACCAAAAUAAGGAACGCUUCACGAAUUUGCGUGUCAUCCUUGCGCAGGGGCCAUGCUAAUCUUCUCUGUAUCGUUCCAAUUUUAGUUGACGUAACAGCGAACUGUUACAUUUUGCAGAUGCUCUCUGAAGGCUUAAUAUAGGUGUGGUUGGAGUCAUCCCCUUGAGUCAUGGUGCAGCACUCACUGCUGAUUUGAGGUCCAGUGGCCAUGUUCUGCCGCCUCUCCAAGCAGGAAACCAUUUCCUAAUUGGUUUUGACACAUUGAGCACCUACAUGGAUGUCAUUUCGUUGAACAGCUUAGUAGAAAUAUGAAGUUAAGUGAAAUUACAGAGGCUGGAUGAUUGUUGGAGUAAAACCCAGCUGCUGAGACAAAUAGGCCCCUCCCUCGAAAUUAUCAACAGGGUUUGCUGUGCUCAGACAACUAUCAUUCAGUUCACAGUGCUCACACCGAGAAGGUGAGACUAUUCUAGGAGCAUGGUCAUUUGGAAUUAGGGCCACUGCAGAAUUCUCCCUUGCAAGUCUGAAUUCUGAUUUAGGCUGAAUUUUCAUGAAGAAUUAGAAUUCUCACUUGUCCCAAUUCUCACAAUAAUGAUUUGAGAUCAGAGCCAGAAUUCUUGCUUCAAAGUAAAAGAUUUCUGAGAGUAAAGAUAUUUUAUCAGAAAUGACAUCAAAGGCAGUCGGUCAUACUAGAUUAAAGUCAGAAUUCUUCACAAAUUCUCACUUUUGUCACUGCAAAUUUCAGCCAAGCUGUGUUGACGUGUCCUGGUUUGUAACCAAAAUAAGGAACGCUUCACGAAUUUGCGUGUCAUCCUUGCGCAGGGGCCAUGCUAAUCUUCUCUGUAUCGUUCCAAUUUUAGUUGAUGUAACAGCGAACUGUUACAUUUAGCAGAUGCUCUCUGAAGGCUUAAUAUAGGUGUGGCUGGAGUCAUCCCCUUGAGUCAUGGUGCAGCACUCACUGCUGAUUUGAGGUCCAGUGGCCAUGUUCUGCCGCCUCUCCAAGCAGGAAAUCAUUUCUCAAUUGGUUUUGACACAUUGAGCACCUACAUGGUUGUCAUUUUGUUGAACAGCUCAGUGGAAAUAUGAAGUUAAGUGGAAACUACAGAGGCUGGAUGAUUACUGGAGUGUAACCCAGCUGCUGAGACAAAUAGGCCCCUCCCCCAAAAUAUCAACAGGGUUUGCUGCGCUCAGACAACUAUCAUUCAGUUCACAGUGCUCAUACUGAGAAGGUGAGACUAUUCUAGGAGCAUGGUCAUUUGGAAUUAGGGCCACUCCUGGAACUGCAACCUUAUCGUGGUGGGGGAGUUUGUGUACCUUGAAUGAUCCUAGGAGCUAUGUUGUCGGGGGCGUUAUGCUCCUGGUAGGGUCUCCCAUGGCAAACAGGUCCUAGGUGACGGGUCAGACUAAGAGCAGUUCAGAAGCCCCGAUGACAAAACCAAAAACAUCAAGGACCGUGACGUCGCCCGGCAUGGCGCAGCCGGGGCCCCACCCUGGAGCCAGGCCUGGGGUUGGGGCUCGAAUGCGAGCGCCUGGUGGCCGGGCCUCUGCCCAUGGGGCCCGGCCGGGCCAAGCCCGA
Synchiropus splendidus (mandarinfish) is the source of this 24435-nucleotide long non-coding RNA. RefSeq lists it as uncharacterized. The transcript has 3 exons. The record is from RefSeq and is a predicted model, not a curated record. Lineage: Eukaryota; Metazoa; Chordata; Actinopteri; Syngnathiformes; Callionymidae.